This 337-nucleotide long non-coding RNA is filed under the name Prunus persica (peach). RNAcentral's name for it is "long non-coding RNA (PPER_LNC005360)". The record is from RNAcentral. Lineage: Eukaryota; Viridiplantae; Streptophyta; Magnoliopsida; Rosales; Rosaceae.
UUGGAUUGAAGGAAAAAAAAGAAUCGGAGAGCCAAUAGGCUGCCACGUGGAAUGUAGCCGUUGGCGGCUACUGUAUUGCGUCGUUUGAAAUUUUUUUUAACGUUGGCGCGUGCAAUGCACACGCCAACAGUAAAAAAAAUUUCAAACGCUGGAGGGCUGACGCCAGCCUGGCAUCAGCCAUGACGUCACCGCCCUCGGGCGCUUGCUCGGGCCGAACUCCACCUCGGGCCAGCCCAGUCUCGUGGCCCCCACCUCUUGCCCGGGCUACCUUCUGCUUCUGGAAACCCAUUUUUUUCCCAAACCCCCUAGCCCGAGUCCACCUCUUGCUGCUGGACUU